GUGCAAUCUUUGGUGAAUUCCCAGCUAGCGAAGCACUGGAGGAAGAAUUUGAACUGCUAGAUCCUAAAUCGAUUAGUGACUGUGCCUUCUGCAUGUUAGAUCCACCAAACCCUCCUGCCACGGGACCUAAGGAACCAGUAUGAGGCUGCGUUGAAGAGAAAGGUAUAGCCAAGGGCUGCAGAAGACUGGAUGUUCCAUUUGGCAGUGAU
RNAcentral lists this long non-coding RNA (209 nucleotides) under Gallus gallus (chicken). The record is from RNAcentral. Lineage: Eukaryota; Metazoa; Chordata; Aves; Galliformes; Phasianidae.